CCAAUUAUGGAUUUUUCCCUAUUUUUCUAAAUCAGGCUCAACUUCAAGGAAGAGAUCUCCCUGAGGAUGGAAAGCAAGCCACAGAGAGAGGGAGCUGUCAGGAAGCUCCCCGAUGACACACUUGCCCUUGGAAAGCAUCAUCACCAAAUCAGAAGAUGCAGGUCAAAUUCAUCUGUACUCGUCAGAAGAAGAUUUCUGUUGAAGCACUCCAUUUCAGGCAUAGAGAAAGCUCGUGGUACUGAACUGUAGGCUGCAGCGUUCACCUCCGGCCGUUUGGUUUAAAGCCCGAUCCAUCAGAGGGGCAGCAAUGGCAGAGCCCAUCAGCUUAAUAAAAGGCACAAGCAGGGAGGAAUCUGUGAGGAA
RNAcentral lists this long non-coding RNA (363 nucleotides) under Dromaius novaehollandiae (emu). RNAcentral describes it as "lncRNA (ENSDNVG00000004040.1)". Lineage: Eukaryota; Metazoa; Chordata; Aves; Casuariiformes; Dromaiidae. The record is from RNAcentral.